Molecule: long non-coding RNA, 263 nt
Filed under: Lathyrus oleraceus (garden pea)
Lineage: Eukaryota; Viridiplantae; Streptophyta; Magnoliopsida; Fabales; Fabaceae
Description: Pisum sativum (pea) long non-coding RNA (PSAT_LNC000811)
Source: RNAcentral
GAAGUCCUCAAGCAUGAGGCAGGCCAGUGGUGGUCUCAAUUUUGCAAAUCGUGCCAUUUCAGUUCAUGCACCAUGAUCUUCAAGCUCAUGUUUCUCUCUAAAUAGGAACUUUGAGGAGGAUCCAUGGUUACAGGGGUGAGUGGUGGUCUCAAUUUUGCAAAUCGUGCCAUUUCAGUUCAUGCACCAUGAUCUUCAAGCUCAUGUUUCUCUCUAAAUAGGAACUUUGAGGAGGAUCCAUGGUUACAGGGGUGAUGUACAUCACC